Molecule: ribosomal RNA, 492 nt
Filed under: uncultured bacterium
Lineage: Bacteria
Description: partial 16S ribosomal RNA
Rfam family: Bacterial small subunit ribosomal RNA
Source: RNAcentral
AGUGAACGCUGGCGGUAGGCCUAACACAUGCAAGUCGAACGGCAGCACAGUAAGAGCUUGCUCUUACGGGUGGCGAGUGGCGGAAGGGUGAGGAAUACAUCGGAAUCUACUUUUUCGUGGGGGAUAACGUAGGGAAACUUACGCUAAUACCGCAUACGACCUACGGGUGAAAGCAGGGGAUCUUCGGACCUUGCGCGAUUGAAUGAGCCGAUGUCGGAUUAGCUAGUUGGCGGGGUAAAGGCCCACCAAGGCGACGAUCCGUAGCUGGUCUGAGAGGAUGAUCAGCCACACUGGAACUGAGACACGGUCCAGACUCCUACGGGAGGCAGCAGUGGGGAAUAUUGGACAAUGGGCGCAAGCCUGAUCCAGCCAUACCGCGUGGGUGAAGAAGGCCUUCGGGUUGUAAAGCCCUUUUGUUGGGAGAGAAAAGCAGCAGGUUAAUACCCCGCUGUUCUGACGGUACCCAAAGAAUAAGCACCGGCUAACUUCGUG